Molecule: ribosomal RNA, 86 nt
Filed under: Propithecus coquereli (Coquerel's sifaka)
Lineage: Eukaryota; Metazoa; Chordata; Mammalia; Primates; Indriidae
Source: RNAcentral
ACCUACAGCUGUACCACCUAGAACACACCUGAUCUCGUCUGAUCUUGGAAGCUAGGGAGGGUCAGUCCUGGUUAGUACUGAAGGGA